RNAcentral lists this long non-coding RNA (3328 nucleotides) under Zostera marina. Its description in RNAcentral is "long non-coding RNA (ZMAR_LNC004164)". Lineage: Eukaryota; Viridiplantae; Streptophyta; Magnoliopsida; Alismatales; Zosteraceae. The record is from RNAcentral.
GACUAUUGUCGACAAAACGACAAAACGACAAAACGAUAGGGUUAAAAAGUAAUUAUAAAGUUAAAAAUAGUGUAAAAAAACUAAAAACAUGCAUGUCCAAGUCCAUAUAGGUCGGGAGAAAGUUACACCCCAUGUAUAGCCCAUCUAGGCCCAAAACAUGAAAGAACAUUAGGAGAGUAAAGGGGUGUUCUAGAUUGGAGCUGUAAAUAAGAGAGAGUGUGUUAUAUCAUUGAAGAGUGUGAGAUUUCUAUUCUAUAACCUUUGACGAUUUUAGCUGGUAUGAUGUUUAUGGUGAAGAUACUCAACUCUACCGCUUACUUUGUUAAUCGGUCUGAGAUGUUCACCUUAUGCAGGAUCUGCAACAGUGGGUGGGUAGUUGGUACCGUGAUUAUGCGUGCUUGGAAAUAUAGUCGGAGCCUCCUGGAGGCCAAUAUCACAACUUUUCGAUGGUCGAGUACCUUGUGUCCGCUUCCUACAGGGCUCUAGAAUAGUAGUAUAUUGGCCUCUGCAUGUUGCUCCUUCGUUUCAAGUACGAGGAAUUAAUGCGAUCACUGCUGCCUCGGAGCUUGCUAUGUACAGGGAUAGUAGUUCUCACGGUACGAGUGGUUGCAGAGUUGGGAAGUUCGCGAGUUGUACCUUGAGUUCUUUGAAAUCUCUCGCACACUCGUCUGAUAAUGUUAUCUUUUUUGAUGCCGAUUUUAGCAACUAGGAAACAGGUGGCAUCGGUCUGCUCUUCGUUGCAAGAAACGACUAAGUGUUGCGACCCGACCGUCCAGCCUUUGUAUCUCCUUUAUUGUUUUCAGAGAGAUUAUUACUAAGACUUCCUUGACCUUUUCUGUCACGACUUGAUCCCGUGUGGGUUGAUUUUAUAUCCAAGGAAAUGUCCUUAUGUUUCUUGGCAUUCAAACGUAGGUCUGCCUUUCGGAUGCUGGCUAAAUUUAAUUUCUUUCAGAUCGGACAGGUGGUCUUGUUAUACAUUGGACUGGACCAAGAUCGAUAUCAUUUAUUUAUACCUCGAUAUUCCUUCCAAUCUGGUUCGCGAAGAUUCGGUCCAUCAACUUCAGGAAUGUUGCUCCCACGUUCCGGAGCUCGAAAGGCAUUACCCGGAAAAAGAACGUGUCAUGCUCGGUAAUGAAAGACGUUUUUUUCGGUCCUGCUUUGCCCAGUAUGCUGCCGAAUCGGACAUCAUCCGGCGCGCUUCCGGGAGCAUGCCUUCUCCUUCUAACGCCAGGAACACUUGUCUUUGGUUUGGUCCGGACUCGACCUGUUUAAAGGACCCGGUGUAUGGUGCUUUCCCCUUGUUGUUCAGGGACCUCGAGGGGUAAUGCUUUGUAGGAAGGAGAUGCUCCCUCCUUCUGGUGUCAGUUAUUAUAUUCCCCUCCUCUCCUCUUUUGACACAGCAUCGCUUGUUUAAAUUUCGAGACCAGGUAAUCCUCCGCGUUCAUCACGCCUUGGGAGCACAGGACAUAACUUUAGAAAAGGUUUUGACCUUGCAAUCGACGACGAACCGGGUCCCUCUCAGCCCGUUGAGUAAGGCCAUCAUUAUCGUCGAUUCAUCGGCUUCUUCCAGCUAUUGGACCGCCAUUACGAACCGGUUCGUGUCACCCCAUAGGGUCUCAUUAUCACCCUAUGAGAAACCCAAGAGGGUUGUUAAUCUCUUCUUUGCGCUGUCUUUAAAGUUUAAAGGGUCAUAUUACUUAUAAUAAUACAAAGAUAACAAAAUAAAUGGAAACAAAAUAAUAUAGGGUUAAAUAUGCAAAUUAUUAAAUUUGAAGAUUGUUAUUUCCAAGAUCUUCUAUAAAUGAUCGAAUUCCGUUACUUCAUCUAAACCAGUUGCCUAACAACGAGAGGAGGGGAGAAGGUUGGAAAAAACUGGAAGAAAUAAGUUGCAGGUUUUUUACAGAGGUGCGUUUGAUUGAUGCUUCUUAUAUUACCAUCAUUUAAUUAUAAUUAUUACAUAUUAUCAAUGGCAGAUCAAAAACGGAGGAUAUGAAAAGAUCGCCGUCGCCAAACCCGAGCUCUUUUACAUCCAAUCUUCUUGGAGGGAGGUUUUGUCUUUGUUCUCCGACGACGCAUCCCGGCUCUUUCCGACGACGCUUGCAACCACCGUAACGAAAACAAACAAUCAAAUCAUCGGGGUGCCAACACCAUCAAGAACUUUGUUCCCUCCUCCAAGACCGAAGAAAAUAUCUAUUACCUCAACUACUGCAACUAAAGUUUUUGAUUCCACCGGGGUGUCAUAAUCAAGAACUUUGUUCCCUCCUCCUCGACCAAGGAAUUUAUCUUCCGAAACUGAAUUUCUUGAUUCUACAGAGAAUAAAGAAACAACAUCACACUCCUGGCAAGAAUAAAUAAGAUGAAUUCAAAUUCAAAUUUUAUUUGAUUUUAUUUUUUUAAAUAAUUUCAAGCAUUUUUCUUCUUUAUUAAAUUCCAAUAUCGGCAUUAUAAUGUAAUCUGAAACACAGUAAAACAGUUGUUUGCUUAUGAAAUACUAUAAAUAUUGAUGAUCCUAUGAUAAUUAUUAGAAAGGUUUAAAAAACAACAUUUUCAGGAUAAACAGAGCUGUUGAUUCAUUAUUGGCAUCAAAGAUUUGCAACCAUUGCCAGUUUCUGAAGAAAGGAAAUAAAAAAAAAGAUAAGAAAACAAGAUUGAACUAACUUUCAACUUAUUUGCAAUCUGACCCAACAACCGCAUCCACCAAUUGAUCGAUCUUCUUGUCGGAAUUCUUGACGUCCACCACCUCCCCAUCUCCAGAUCGAUUAUCUCCGCCUUCGUCGCCGGAAUCGGAAAGGUCAAGGGACCGUGACCGACUGACGUAGAGGGGAACCGAAGUACUAAUGUGAGAUGCAGAUAUUAUGGACAUUGAUAGCGGUUAUCUGUGGUAUGAAUCGAGGGUGGUGCACGACUAGAUCCCGUGCGGGUUGAUUUUAUAUCCAAGGAAAUGUCCUUAUGUCACCUUGAACGUGCAUUUCUUGGCCUUCAAACGUAGGUCUGCCUUUCGGAUGUUGGCUAAAUUUAAUUUCUUAAUUUCAGGUUGGACAGGUGGUCUUGUUAUACAUUGGACUGGACUAAGAUAUCAUUUACGUAUACCUCGACAUUUCUUCCGAUCUGGUUCGCGAAGAUUCGGUCAAUUAACCUUUGGAAUGUUGUUCCCACAUUCCGGAGCCCGAACGGCAUUACCCGUAAAAAGAACGUGUCAUGCUCGGUUACGAAAGACGUUUUUUUCGGUCCUAAUUCGCCCAGUAUGCUGCCUCGGUUCGUGUCACCCCGGAGGGUCUCAUUAUCAUCCUAUGAGAAACCCAAGAGGGUUGUUAAUCUCUUCUUCGUU